GACGAACGCUGGCGGCGUGCUUAACACAUGCAAGUCGAACGGAAAGGCCCUGCUUUUGUGGGGUGCUCGAGUGGCGAACGGGUGAGUAACACGUGAGUAACCUGCCCUUGACUUUGGGAUAACUUCAGGAAACUGGGGCUAAUACCGGAUAGGAGCUCGUGCUGCAUGGUGGUGGUUGGAAAGUUUCGGCGGUUGGGGAUGGACUCGCGGCUUAUCAGCUUGUUGGUGGGGUAGUGGCUUACCAAGGCUUUGACGGGUAGCCGGCCUGAGAGGGUGACCGGCCACAUUGGGACUGAGAUACGGCCCAGACUCCUACGGGAGGCAGCAGUGGGGAAUAUUGCACAAUGGGCGGAAGCCUGAUGCAGCAACGCCGCGUGCGGGAUGACGGCCUUCGGGUUGUAAACCGCUUUCGCCUGUGACGAAGCGUGAGUGACGGUAAUGGGUAAAGAAGCACCGGCUAACUACGUG
Molecule: ribosomal RNA, 468 nt
Filed under: uncultured bacterium
Lineage: Bacteria
Description: partial 16S ribosomal RNA
Rfam family: Bacterial small subunit ribosomal RNA
Source: RNAcentral